AUAUAUGUCCAUAGGUACUCAAAAAUGGACUGAUUUGAUUUUAGUGAUGAAGGUCAGUAAAACCUCACAAAAUGCGUUUUUUGGCAUAACUCAAGAACUCUUACACCAAUUACAUCAACAUUACACAUACAUGUCUAAUAUGAUGAAAUAAUGAAGUCAUGAUAUUUUAUAUCCCAAACUUCACUGGGAAAUCAUAAUGUUUUGCCAAAACACUGUUCUGGCAAUUAUUCAACUUGAUAAGUCAGGAACAGAUUGUGACCAUAUUUAACAUAUUUGUCUAUGACUGAGUUGGUGACCCUUCUCUUGAAACUGUGGUGAUUGUAGUGAAUGUAGAAGAUGUGUGUGAAGCAUCCCAGCUUCACCAAAAAUACACUUAAUACCUUUUUUUUAUUUAUUUUUUAUUAAAUUCCGUCAAAGUCUACAAUACAUAUGAGUCUGGACAGACAUGGAUGUUAACUGUAACUUGACUGGUUGGCGGAGGCAUACAACCGCAAAGCGGUAAUUUUAGUUCUCUACUUUCUUUUCGGUAAGCAUAUUCUGAGCACACCUUGCCACAAUGGUGCCCAGUUUGCUUCACAAUGUAUGUCAGACAUAUGGCAAUCCUAUCAAUUUAAUAAAAUAUAAUGCUCUCUCCUUCCCCUUAGAGAUCGAUCAACCCUCUGUCUCUGCCUUUGAGGAGGAGAUUCCCCUGCAGAAGGUCCAACAGGCCUCACUGCUGCUUCAAGUUAAAGAAGAAACAGGAAUGCGGAAACAAGUGAGUCAUCCUGAGGGGCAGAACGUAUGUGAGCAAGUACAAAAAGGUAACAGUCAAAUGAGUCUGGAGGCAGAUCAUGCCCAAGUCACUGUAUUCAACCUGGUCUGUGUGGACAGUUAUAUUCAAGAUCUUGGCGAAAUGAACAGUGCAGACAGAGGCAGGGGACAUCCUCGCUCUAAUUCUUCAAAUCAAACUCUGGAAAUGCAUGGUCGUGGUGUUGGUGAAAUACAGCAGCCAGCUGGGGAAUCUGAGCACCCCACACCUUGCUCUAGAUUAAAGGCUUUCAAUUCAAGGAGGAAAAAGCGUGUGGAAAGGUCUUUACCCCCCUUGAGUUUGAAUUUACAGAAAUCAACCCAUCCAUCUGUCAAUCAUAAUCCCACAGGUCCUCAUUGUUGCAAAGCAUGCGGAAAGACUUUCC
Molecule: long non-coding RNA, 1172 nt
Organism: Etheostoma spectabile (orangethroat darter)
Lineage: Eukaryota; Metazoa; Chordata; Actinopteri; Perciformes; Percidae
Exons: 2
Source: RefSeq, a predicted model, not a curated record